AACGAACGCUGGCGGCAUGCCUAAUACAUGCCAGUCGAACGAGAUCUUCGGAUCUAGUGGCGCACGGGUGCGUAACGCGUGGGAAUCUGCCCUUGGGUUCGGAAUAACUUCUGGAAACGGAAGCUAAUACCGGAUGAUGACGUAAGUCCAAAGAUUUAUCGCCCAAGGAUGAGCCCGCGUAGGAUUAGGUAGUUGGUGAGGUAAAGGCUCACCAAGCCGACGAUCCUUAGCUGGUCUGAGAGGAUGAUCAGCCACACUGGGACUGAGACACGGCCCAGACUCCUACGGGAGGCAGCAGUAGGGAAUAUUGGACAAUGGGCGAAAGCCUGAUCCAGCAAUGCCGCGUGAGUGAUGAAGGCCUUAGGGUUGUAAAGCUCUUUUACCCGGGAUGAUAAUGACAGUACCGGGAGAAUAAGCGCCGGCUAACUCCGUG
This 433-nucleotide ribosomal RNA is filed under the name uncultured bacterium. RNAcentral's name for it is "partial 16S ribosomal RNA". It matches the Rfam family "Bacterial small subunit ribosomal RNA", at positions 29 to 507 of the family's 1533-position model. The record is from RNAcentral.